Molecule: non-coding RNA, 69 nt
Organism: Bemisia tabaci
Lineage: Eukaryota; Metazoa; Arthropoda; Insecta; Hemiptera; Aleyrodidae
Source: the annotation of a RefSeq genome assembly
UUAAUUUAACUUGAGUUUAAAACAGUAACCUUUGAAGUUAAAUAGAUUAAUUAAUUUUAGUAAGUUCAU